Molecule: ribosomal RNA, 467 nt
Filed under: Pseudomonas sp. RX228
Lineage: Bacteria; Pseudomonadati; Pseudomonadota; Gammaproteobacteria; Pseudomonadales; Pseudomonadaceae
Description: bacterial SSU rRNA
Rfam family: Bacterial small subunit ribosomal RNA
Source: RNAcentral
AGAGUUUGAUCCUGGCUCAGAUUGAACGCUGGCGGCAGGCCUAACACAUGCAAGUCGAGCGGUAGAGAGAAGCUUGCUUCUCUUGAGAGCGGCGGACGGGUGAGUAAUGCCUAGGAAUCUGCCUGGUAGUGGGGGAUAACGUUCGGAAACGGACGCUAAUACCGCAUACGUCCUACGGGAGAAAGCAGGGGACCUUCGGGCCUUGCGCUAUCAGAUGAGCCUAGGUCGGAUUAGCUAGUUGGUGAGGUAAUGGCUCACCAAGGCUACGAUCCGUAACUGGUCUGAGAGGAUGAUCAGUCACACUGGAACUGAGACACGGUCCAGACUCCUACGGGAGGCAGCAGUGGGGAAUAUUGGACAAUGGGCGAAAGCCUGAUCCAGCCAUGCCGCGUGUGUGAAGAAGGUCUUCGGAUUGUAAAGCACUUUAAGUUGGGAGGAAGGGCAGUAAAUUAAUACUUUGCUGUUUG